GCCUGGGUAGCUCAGUCAGUUAAGCAUCUGACUUCAGCUCAGGUCAUGAUCUCACCAUUUGUGAGUUUGAGCCUCAUGUCGGGCU
Molecule: transfer RNA, 85 nt
Filed under: Felis catus (domestic cat)
Lineage: Eukaryota; Metazoa; Chordata; Mammalia; Carnivora; Felidae
Also listed under: 2 other names
Rfam family: tRNA
About the family: Transfer RNA (tRNA) molecules are approximately 80 nucleotides in length. Their secondary structure includes four short double-helical elements and three loops (D, anti-codon, and T loops). Further hydrogen bonds mediate the characteristic L-shaped molecular structure. tRNAs have two regions of fundamental functional importance: the anti-codon, which is responsible for specific mRNA codon recognition, and the 3' end, to which the tRNAs corresponding amino acid is attached (by aminoacyl-tRNA synthetases). tRNAs cope with the degeneracy of the genetic code in two manners: having more than one tRNA (with a specific anti-codon) for a particular amino acid; and 'wobble' base-pairing, i.e. permitting non-standard base-pairing at the 3rd anti-codon position.
Source: Rfam by way of RNAcentral